This 760-nucleotide ribosomal RNA is filed under the name uncultured bacterium. Its description in RNAcentral is "bacterial SSU rRNA". It matches the Rfam family "Bacterial small subunit ribosomal RNA", at positions 120 to 881 of the family's 1533-position model. The record is from RNAcentral.
UCCAACCUGCCCAUCACUUGGGGAUAACCUUGCGAAAGUAAGACUAAUACCCAAUGACGUCUCUAGAAGACAUCUGAAAGGGAUUAAAGAUUUAUCGGUGAUGGAUGGGGAUGCGUCUGAUUAGCUUGUUGGCGGGGUAACGGCCCACCAAGGCGACGAUCAGUAGGGGUUCUGAGAGGAAGGUCCCCCACAUUGGAACUGAGACACGGUCCAAACUCCUACGGGAGGCAGCAGUGAGGGAUAUUGGUCAAUGGACGAGAGUCUGAACCAGCCAAGUAGCGUGCAGGAUGACGGCCCUAUGGGUUGUAAACUGCUUUUAUAAGGGAAUAAAGUGAGUCUCGUGAGACUUUUUGCAUGUACCUUAUGAAUAAGGACCGGCUAAUUCCGUGCCAGCAGCCGCGGUAAUACGGAAGGUCCGGGCGUUAUCCGGAUUUAUUGGGUUUAAAGGGAGCGUAGGCCGGAGAUUAAGCGUGUUGUGAAAUGUAGACGCUCAACGUCUGCACUGCAGCGCGAACUGGUUUCCUUGAGUACGCACAAAGUGGGCGGAAUUCGUGGUGUAGCGGUGAAAUGCUUAGAUAUCACGAAGAACUCCGAUUGCGAAGGCAGCUCACUGGAGCGCAACUGACGCUGAAGCUCGAAAGUGCGGGUAUCGAACAGGAUUAGAUACCCUGGUAGUCCGCACGGUAAACGAUGGAUGCCCGCUGUUGGCCUGAACAGGUCAGCGGCCAAGCGAAAGCAUUAAGCAUCCCACCUGGGGAGU